Long non-coding RNA from Mesocricetus auratus (golden hamster), 1508 nucleotides. RefSeq lists it as uncharacterized. The record is from RefSeq and is a predicted model, not a curated record. Lineage: Eukaryota; Metazoa; Chordata; Mammalia; Rodentia; Cricetidae. The transcript is spliced from 3 exons.
GGCCUGCAAGUGUCUGACACAGACACUGCCUUUAAGCUUUAGGAUUACACUGCAAUUUGGUGCUUAAUUUUCUUACAGACUUGAAGACAUUUAGUUUAUUUAUAUAGAGCACUGAUCCUAUUAAAACUAGGAUGUUGUGUAGCAAACAGAAUGGUGCCAAAAUAAAAUCUGGACCAUUGGAAAGUAUCUGUGCUAUGGAGAGCUGAGGCCUGUGGGGACUCCCUUGACUAUCAAUGGCCAGUUUCUAGUCUUCCUGCUCUUCAGGGGGAAAUAUUAGAUCAGAAAGUAACCACUGGAGACAACUUACAAUAUAACUUUACAUAAUGUUUCCUUUAAAACAAAAUAGAAACAGAAACAAACAAUUAAGAAAAGUCUCAGAACCCUUCUGUCCUAAAGAGAGUUGCUGAUUACAGCUAACUGGAGCCCAGAGACCUGUUUCCAUAAUAUUGACUUUGGACCAAUUUCCUGCUGAAACUGGAUAAUGUCUGCGACAAGAGAUAUUUUUGGUGAGCGCUCCUUGAGGAGAAGAAACUGGGACCCCUGAAGAAGGAGCAGCUGUCCAGUUCCUCUGCUCAUCUACACAAACUGGCACUGUGUCCAAAGAGUGGCAAGCCACGUCAGCCUCCCAGGGGAACUCAAGUAUAACCCACAGCAAUAGAAGAACACAGCGAUGAAUCUGAAGGUGUGCCUUAUGACCACGGCGCUAUGCGGUAAAUCCAAGUUAUAAUCGCCGCUCGUGCGUUUUAGCUCGAGAAUGAACAUUUUGCAAACUCAAGGGCAGUAACUAAAAUACCCCAGACAGGAAGAAAUUCUCCAGACAGGAAGAUUGUUUGCCCAAGACUAUUAUACUGGCAUGGUCCACUUGGAAUUAAAAGCCACAGCAAACAACGAGAUGGUAUUAAAAGCGAUAAGGUGUUGGAUAAAUGGUCCAGAGAUGGGCAUGCAAUAAUAACAAGAGGAAGAACUGUCCAGAAAGUCACAGGCAGCCAGCGGGCAUCCACUCGGCUCCCUGGAGAUGAACAGGAUGUUAUUGUCUCGCAUUUGCUGAAUCUGGAAGGUCUCCGGAGUGGUUUCAGAGCAAAUGUUUUGAUGGGCCAGUGCAGAUACCACUGGAGCUUACGGUCAACUCACCCAGACUCUGACUGUAAGCAAAUGCUACUUAAGAAGUGCUGUGGUGAGGAAUUUUUACUUUUUCUUAUCAGUUCCUAUCAGUGUUCCUUGACCUUAUUCUUGUUAACAUUUUUGGGCCAGAAAAUUUUUGGUUGAGGUGGCAGGUGGCUGUCUUGGGCACUACAGGGAUAUUUUUCUUUUUCUCCAGCUUCCCUGACUAUCUACGUACCAGAGGCUUACGGUAUCCCUCAAGGGAUGCGCCAUAAAUAUCUCCGGACAUUGCCAAGUGCUUCCUGGGAGGGGGACCAUGCAGCCUUGAUUGGGACUCACUGACACAGAACAAACCCUUUUGCCCCAGCUUAUCAGUUCUAUUAUUCAUAUUAAACACAGGAAUUUCA